Molecule: long non-coding RNA, 1086 nt
Organism: Uloborus diversus
Lineage: Eukaryota; Metazoa; Arthropoda; Arachnida; Araneae; Uloboridae
Exons: 3
Source: RefSeq, a predicted model, not a curated record
UUUCGUUAGGCUAAAACUAAGGGAAGUGUUAUUAUUGUAUUGAGGUUGACAUUUGUAUAAUUAAUCAAAAUGUUUAUCAAAUUAAAACAUCAUGAUGAUUCUAUAUUCCUUAAUAUCGCUUUAUUUUCAAAAUCUUUGAGUGUUUUAUGAGGUUACGCUUUGAAUAAGAUUGUAAAAUAUGGCUUCUUUUGAAAAAACCAUGGCAUUAAGCACUCUGAAAAAGGAAAAUUCUUGCGCUCUCCAUAUAUCACUCUCUUUUCUGAAAGAAUCAAGUUCUGCCUUUUUGAAUGAUAAUUCUUCAUUCCUUAGUAAUGAUAAAGAACAGCAGUGCAUUUAUUCAUUUUGGAAGCAUAAUAAUGAAAAUAUAUUGAAUCAAGCUAAACAGUUUAACACAGAGUGCUUCAAAUUAGCGAAGGGUUGUGUUUCUUCUGCUUUGAAGGUUGAACAGCCUCAUACUUCCAGCAAACCUAAUGUUCCGACUCAAAAUCCACCAGAAAUGAAAAAAAAUCACCACCACAAAAAAUUCAGCUUUCGUAAAUAUGUGCUGACAAAUUUUGAUAUUAAUGUUUUAAGCCCUAACAGCUGGUAACUUAUAUUUGAAUCGGGUUUUAUGUCAUUGUUAAAAAUUACCCAGAAAGGCCUUUCAUGAUGCAUUCCAUUGCGUGUUUUUGUGAAUUGCUUUUUUUCUAUGUCGUGAUUUUUUGGUCUUUCAUACAUUCUAAAAAACAAAAAAAGAUAAAUGUGAAUAUAAAGUAAACUAACAUUGUAUGUCCUUAUUUUGGUUUAAUGUCCAAUUUAAAUGUGGCCAAACUUAAAAUUAAAUUUAUUUACAACACUUGUUUUUGUUGCGAUUUUUGUUCUUGCAGUCAAUAAUGCCACUGCAUCUUCAUCUUUAAAGCAAAACAUAUGUUAUUUUUUCUAGUUAUUGAAAUCACUUACAAAAUCAUAAUAAAAAAUUGUAUGCCUUGUUCUUUACAUUAAUAUAUUAACUCUUCAUUUGAAUGUAUUCAUUUUGAUAAACUCUGUUCUGGCUAAAUUUUUUUUAUGUUUAAAAUGUAGAAGCUUCUUUCUGAUUAAAUGUUACAA